Molecule: ribosomal RNA, 243 nt
Filed under: Funneliformis mosseae
Lineage: Eukaryota; Fungi; Glomeromycota; Glomeromycetes; Glomerales; Glomeraceae
Description: partial small subunit ribosomal RNA
Rfam family: Eukaryotic small subunit ribosomal RNA
Source: RNAcentral
UUUGGAGGGCAAGUCUGGUGCCAGCAGCCGCGGUAAUUCCAGCUCCAAUAGCGUAUAUUAAAGUUGUUGCAGUUAAAAAGCUCGUAGUUGAAUUUCGGGAUCAAUAUUUCGGUCAUGCCGUUGGUAUGCACUGUUAUCAUUGAUUUCUCACCUUCUAAAGAACCGUAAUGCCCAUUAAUUUGGUGUUACGGGGAAUUAGGACUGUUACCUUGAACAAAUUAGAGUGUUAAUAGCUGGUCCCGG